CAUCCUUGAUCGGGAGGUCCGGGUAAUCUUUUGAAACUUCAUCGUGCUGGGGAUAGUCCCUUGCAAUUUUUGGACUUAAACGAGGAAUUCCUAGUAAGCGUGAGUCAUCAACUCGCGUUGAUUACGUCCCUGCCCUUUGUACACACCGCCCGUCGCUACUACCGAUUGAAUGGCUUAGUGAAUCCUUCGGAUUGGCUAUUUUUUUCUGGCAACAGAAUUAAACUGCUAAAAAGUUGGGCAAACUUGGUCAUUUAGAGGAAGUAAAAGUCGUAACAAGGUUUCCGUAGGUGAACCUGCGGAAGGAUCAUUAAAAAAUAUCGCUCGAUUGAGAGUGAUUUAAUAAUCAUCCUACCCUUUGUGAAUUUGUUGUUUGUAAUAAUUUUUUUUGAUUUUAAAAAAAAAUUAUUUAUGGUUUUGUCUAUCCCUAAAAUUGGUUUGUUGUGAAAUGAAUCAAAUUUAGGGAAUAGGCUUUCAUAAAUAAGUUUUUUUUAAAGUCUUAAAGACCUUUUUUAAAAUUAAACUUUUGUUGUAUUCAUUUGUCUAAAUUUUUUUUUAAAUAAUUUAAAAACAACUUUUGACAAUGGAUCUCUUGGUUCUCGCAACGAUGAAGAACGCAGCAAAAUGCGAUAAGUAAUGUGAAUUGCAGAAUACGUGAAUCAUCAAAUCUUCGAACGCAUAUUGCAC
Molecule: ribosomal RNA, 684 nt
Filed under: Neocallimastix frontalis
Lineage: Eukaryota; Fungi; Neocallimastigomycota; Neocallimastigomycetes; Neocallimastigales; Neocallimastigaceae
Description: bacterial SSU rRNA
Rfam family: Eukaryotic small subunit ribosomal RNA (bases 1-310)
Source: RNAcentral